RNAcentral lists this long non-coding RNA (519 nucleotides) under Amborella trichopoda. RNAcentral's name for it is "long non-coding RNA (ATRI_LNC004528)". Lineage: Eukaryota; Viridiplantae; Streptophyta; Magnoliopsida; Amborellales; Amborellaceae. The record is from RNAcentral.
UUAUAUUAUGCAUAGCACAUAAAUCAUCUGAUAUGUAUCUUGCCACUUUUGAGUUGUUUAGGUAAAGGAAGAAAUACUCCUAUGACUAAGAAAAGUAGAGAACUUCUAAAGAAUCAAAAAUAAAAAGAAGGCUUGAAUAAUGUACCUUGACUGGUUUUAAUCAAUGAAUAAACAGUUUCCUGUGAAUCAUAUUUAUAUAAUAAAUAAUACAUAAAUACUUGGUCAAUUAAAUAUUCCUUGAACCUUUCAACAUGACUUCUGAUAAUGAUAUUGCAUAAUUGAGUUUAACUUUCCUGUAAAGGAUCAAAGGAUGAUGGAGCAUCCAUGGUAUGUAUCUAUUGGUGGAUAUCUUAGAGGUGGACAUGCCAUAGUUAGAACUGCACAUAAGUAGCCCUCAUUUCUGUGGCAUACAGCUCUUGGAUGUUGCGAUUGUGAUCUUGUUAGGGAGUUAAAUCUUGGGACUAACCUUUAAUCUAUAUAUCAUUACCCAAGAUUUAACCUUUAAUUUAUAUAUCAUUG